UGCCAGCAGCCGCGGUAAUACGGAGGGUGCAAGCGUUAAUCGGAUUUAUUGGGCGUAAAGAGCGCGUAGGUGGGCGUGUAAGUCAGAUGUGAAAGCCCGGAGCUCAACUCCGGAACUGCAUUUGAAACUACAUGUCUUGAGGAUAGGCGGGGAAAACAGAAUUCCAAGUGUAGCGGUGAAAUGCGUAGAUAUUUGGAGGAAUACCGGUGGCGAAGGCGGUUUUCUAGCUUAUUCCUGACACUGAGGCGCGAAAGCAAGGGGAGCAAACAGGAUUAGAUA
Molecule: ribosomal RNA, 279 nt
Filed under: uncultured bacterium
Lineage: Bacteria
Description: partial 16S ribosomal RNA
Rfam family: Bacterial small subunit ribosomal RNA
Source: RNAcentral